RNAcentral lists this ribosomal RNA (497 nucleotides) under uncultured bacterium. RNAcentral's name for it is "partial 16S ribosomal RNA". It matches the Rfam family "Bacterial small subunit ribosomal RNA", at positions 28 to 507 of the family's 1533-position model. The record is from RNAcentral.
GAUGAACGCUGGCGGCGUGCCUAAUACAUGCAAGUCGAGCGAACAGACGAGGAGCUUGCUCCUCUGGCGUUAGCGGCGGACGGGUGAGUAACACGUGGAUAACCUACCUAUAAGACUGGGAUAACUUCGGGAAACCGGAGCUAAUACCGGAUAAUAUAUUGAACCGCAUGGUUCAAUAGUGAAAGACGGUUUUGCUGUCACUUAUAGAUGGAUCCGCGCCGCAUUAGCUAGUUGGUAAGGUAACGGCUUACCAAGGCAACGAUGCGUAGCCGACCUGAGAGGGUGAUCGGCCACACUGGAACUGAGACACGGUACAGACACCUACGGGAGGCAGCAGUAGGGAAUCUUCCGCAAUGGGCGAAAGCCUGACGGAGCAACGCCGCGUGAGUGAUGAAGGGCUUCGGAUCGUAAAACUCUGUUAUUAGGGAAGAACAAAUGUGUAAGUAACUAUGCACGUCUUGACGGUACCUAAUCAGAAAGCCACGGCUAACUACGUG